AUUGAACGCUGGCGGCAUGCUUUACACAUGCAAGUCGAACGGCAGCGCGGGCUUCGGCCUGGCGGCGAGUGGCGAACGGGUGAGUAAUACAUCGGAACGUGCCCAGUAGUGGGGGAUAGCUCGGCGAAAGCCGGAUUAAUACCGCAUACGACCUGAGGGUGAAAGCGGGGGAUCUUCGGACCUCGCGCUAUUGGAGCGGCCGAUGGCAGAUUAGCUAGUUGGUGGGGUAAAGGCCUACCAAGGCGACGAUCUGUAGCCGGUCUGAGAGGACGACCAGCCACACUGGAACUGGGACACGGCCCAGACUCCUACGGGAGGCAGCAGUGGGGAAUUUUGGACAAUGGGCGAAAGCCUGAUCCAGCAAUGCCGCGUGUGUGAUGAAGGCCUUCGGGUUGUAAAGCACUUUUGGCGGGAACGAAAAGGACUGUGCCAAUACCACGGUUCGAUGACGGUACCCGCAGAAUAAGCACCGGCUAACUACGU
Molecule: ribosomal RNA, 483 nt
Filed under: uncultured bacterium
Lineage: Bacteria
Description: partial 16S ribosomal RNA
Rfam family: Bacterial small subunit ribosomal RNA
Source: RNAcentral